This 765-nucleotide ribosomal RNA is filed under the name uncultured archaeon. RNAcentral describes it as "16S ribosomal RNA". It matches the Rfam family "Archaeal small subunit ribosomal RNA", at positions 78 to 831 of the family's 1478-position model. The record is from RNAcentral.
ACGGCCNUCAUNUAACACGNUAGNUCAAUUCNUGCCCCUAUGGCACGGUGGGAUAACCNUCGCGGCAAACGUGGAGAAAUAAUCCGCGCAUAGCAUCAUAAUGCCUGGAACGGUUUAUGGNCCAAAUGAUUCGUCNCCAUAGGAUGGGACUGCGGCCUAUCAUCUUGUUGGUGAGGUAAUGGCCCNCCAAGGCUAUUACAGGUACGGGCUCUGAGAGGANAANCCCGGANAUGGGUACUGANACACGGACCCAGGCCCUAUGGGGCGCAGCAGGCGAGAAACCUUUGCAAUGUGCGCAAGCACGACAAGGUUAAUCCGAGUGUUUCCUGCUAAAGGAAUCUUUUGUUAGUUCUAAAACCACUGAUGAAUAAGGGGNGGGCAAGUUCUGGUGUCAGCCGCCGCGGUAAAACCANCNCCUCAAGUGGUCAGGAGGAUUAUUGGGCCUAAAGCAUCCGUAGCCGGUUCUGUAAGUUUCCGGUUAAAUCCACUACCUCANCUAAUGGGCUGCCGGAUAUACUGCAAAACUAGGGAGUGGGANAGGUAGACGGNACUCNGGAGGAAGGGGUAAAAUCCUUUGAUCUCUUGAUGACCNCCUGUGGCGAAGGCGGUCUACCANAACACGUUCGACGGUGAGGGAUGAAAGCUGGGGGAGCAAACCGNAUUAAAUACCCGGGUAGUCCCCAGCUGUAAACNAUGCACACUCGGUGAUGCANUGNNUUUUGGCCANUGCAGUGCCGCAGGGAAANCNUUAANUUUGCCGCCUGG